Molecule: long non-coding RNA, 402 nt
Filed under: Sus scrofa (pig)
Lineage: Eukaryota; Metazoa; Chordata; Mammalia; Artiodactyla; Suidae
Description: lncRNA (ENSSSCG00025065480.1)
Source: RNAcentral
AUGUUUAAGCUGCAGGUCCCUGGACCCAAGGGCACUGAACACAACAAGCGAAAGCUCAAAUGGCCAUUUUGGAGCGCUUCCCGCAGGCGGCCGAGGUCUGGAGAAGCUGGUGGCAGGGAACCCAGGAGAAUGCCUUUGACGAUGACCAAAGGCUGGGACGGGUGGGAAGGAAGUGAGAAGAACGCCGCAAACCCAGCGGGCGAAAGCUUAUCUAUUCUCGUGACUCUGCUCACUGGCUCGCCUAGGACACCGCCACAGAGAUUUUUGGCAGGCCCAGCUCUCACCUCCCUGCCACUGACACUCAGCACCUCCGCCCAGUUCGGCAGCAUGGAGUACUUUCACGCGGCUGAGCAACCUUCUUUGGAUGCGCUGAGCCUGAUCCUCUGCCCACGUGCUCUGUGA